UUAAAACAUUUCUAGUCAAUUAUUACAGGAGCUAAAUUUGUUCACUAAGAUUAAUCUAAUAUGGGAUUGAAAUCGUGGUGGAAUAGAUUUAGCUCUAAAUUUCAUAAAAGUUCACAGUAUGAAAGUUACAAUAUAAACAAUGCGAAUUCACAGUGUGAAAGUUACAAUAAAAGCAAUGAGGAUUCACAGUGUGAAAGCUACAAUAGAAACAAUGCGGAUGGUUCAUCUUCAAUAGAUGGAUUAAAUUUCAGCAGUCUUUUAGAAUCCAUCAAUGUAAUAUAUAGUUCAAGUUGUUUGUAUGAUAAAGAAUUUGAAAGUCAUCUCCAACAAGGAUCAGGUAUUGAAGAAAACUAUGCUAAAAACCACGGAGAAUCAAGCAAUGAACUCGUGACUCCUACAAGAGAGUUGGAAAAUAUAGAUAAACAAACAAAUGAAACUUAUCCUAUAUUAAAUAAAAACAAAAUACGAACAGAAGUUAUGAAUAUAUGCGAGGAGGGAACAAAAACUCAAGAGUCUGUAGUAGAAAACACGUUAAUCCCGGAUGAAGAAUUUGAAUUGAAACUAAAGGAAAAAUAUGCGAGUUGUAUAAAAACAGAAACUCUUGACAUUACCUAAUGAAACCGAAACCACAACGUGAGAAUGGCUUCUGAUGGUCCCUCGCGUAAAACAGGAUAUAAUUUCCAUCUACAGCAGCAACAAUGAACCAUCAUAAUUAUUCAAAGAUGUACUUUAUGAAGAAUCGUCUAACUUUCAAAGGAAUCUUUAAACACUAGCAAUAAAAAAUUUACAUAAAAUUAAUAUUUAGUUAUGUUACGAAGUAACUUUCUUCAUUACUUACACGAAAUUUUAACUAGAAAUUAAACAAUUAUAAACAGAAUACGAUUUUGAUCUGAUAUUUUAAUAUAUAAUAUUUAAUUACACCACUUAUUAAU
This is an RNA transcript of Centruroides sculpturatus (bark scorpion), 932 nucleotides long. RefSeq lists it as uncharacterized. The record is from RefSeq and is a predicted model, not a curated record. Lineage: Eukaryota; Metazoa; Arthropoda; Arachnida; Scorpiones; Buthidae. The transcript has 5 exons.